Long non-coding RNA from Cyprinus carpio carpio, 769 nucleotides. Lineage: Eukaryota; Metazoa; Chordata; Actinopteri; Cypriniformes; Cyprinidae. The record is from Ensembl.
UGUCUACUUAUGUUCCCACUGCUCAAACUGUGUCUGUGUUACGGGGUCGAUGAGACAAGAGUCGUUUAGAUCCAUUUGCGGGCUUUAUUGGUAACAAGGUCAAACACAGGCAUGGCACGGGCAAAACGCAAGAAUAGUCCUUGGGACAAUCAUGAAGCCCUUGGCAUUGCUGACACUUCUGCUCAUCACGAGUGGUUCUGCAGUGGGGCAAAUGUUGAAAUCUAAUGUGACUGGCUAUGUUGGAAAGGAUGUACUUUUAUCAUUUAACUGUUCUAAAGACCCUAAAGAGCUGAUAUGGCAGAAAGGUGAGAGAUUAGUGAAUGUUCAUUCACAAGACAAAAUCACCAUAGAUGAUUCCUACGUGGACAGGACACAACUCUUCAUAAACAUGGAGAAGAGAAACUGUUCCCUACUGCUCCGCAACAUCUCUACAGCAGAUGCAGGACUGUACACCUGUUAUGCCAUAGACACUGUUGAUAACAAGGUCUGGACAAAGGAGUCUACAGAAGUUAAUUUAACAGUGGAGAUCAACCCUGAAAAAAGCGUCCAAACUGAAGAAGAAUCUGACACAGCUGUCCCUGUUAGUGUUCCCAUAGCGGUAGUACUGCUUAUACUGGCUGUUAUCCUGCUUCUAAUCCUACUGAUCAGAAGACAACAUCGGACACGCACGGUAAACAGUCAAUAUAAUAUGUUUCAAUGUUGUUGUUUUUUUUAUUAUCAUUUACUAAAUGACACAAAACAGCGUAGCAAAAAUGUCCACAAACAAUAA